GGCAGUGACCCUUUGUUGACCAGGGGAGGCGCGACUCAGGAGAUGGAAAAAGAUUCACCCCCUCAAAAUGCACUGAGUGGGACGAGACAUAGAUUGAUAUGUAUACGUCAUAAAAUAUUUUACAAACGGGCAACAAACCCGAAAACGAGUGGGACAUCAGACCUCGUUUUUGUGAAAGGAAUGCGUCAGCGUCCAGAAAAGACCAGCAAGGACUGAUGGGGGUGAAUAGAGACCAAUAGGAAUCAGUAGAAACCAAUUGGAAUGCACCCCUGUGUGCCUCGAGGCCAGUGCUGGCCUCUCAGGGUGGGGCUGUGUCUUCAGACCCUCAGUCCUGUGCUGAGCUCUCUAACUGUGGUAGUGGCUUGAACUCCCCGGAUUGGUUCCAGCCUGUCAGGCUGUGGCUUCAGGCCCUGGGGCCGGUGCUGGCCUCUCUAGCAGUGGCUUCAGGCCCCAGGGCACGUGCUGGCCCUUUGGGCUGUGGCUUUAGGCCCAGGGCUGGUGCUGGCCUCUCAGGCUGGGGAUGAGUCUUCAGGAUGCAGCGCCAGUGCAGGCCUGCCUGCCUGUGGCUUCAGGCCCCGGGGUCUGUUUAGGCAUCUCGGGCUGUGGCUUUAGGCGCUGGGGUCGGUGCUGGCCUCUCUUGUGAUGGCUUUAGACCACAGGGCCCUCAUGCCUCUCUGGCUGAGGCUUUAGGCCCCGGGGCUGUGCUGGCCACUCAGGCGCUGCCUUUAGGCCCUAGAGCUUGUGCCGGCCUAGAACAACGUGCAUUUGAAAAUGGCUCAUGGAAGGAAAUGAAAGCAAGAGAGCACUGAGCUCUUCUGUGUGUUUCUUGGAUUGGGAUAGAGACAGGAGAGCGUGCUCAACCUCGUGUGGUUGCUUGUAUCCAGCAACAGCAGCCGCAGCUGAGAACAUCGUCACAUCUUUAUUAGGCGCUCCUCCGUCUGU
Molecule: long non-coding RNA, 942 nt
Filed under: Gallus gallus (chicken)
Lineage: Eukaryota; Metazoa; Chordata; Aves; Galliformes; Phasianidae
Description: lncRNA (ENSGALG00010000222.1)
Source: RNAcentral